Molecule: ribosomal RNA, 497 nt
Filed under: uncultured bacterium
Lineage: Bacteria
Description: partial 16S ribosomal RNA
Rfam family: Bacterial small subunit ribosomal RNA
Source: RNAcentral
GAUGAACGCUGGCGGCGUGCCUAAUACAUGCAAGUCGAGCGAACAGACGCGGCGCUUGCUCCUCUGUCGUUAGCGGCGGACGGGAGAGUAACACGUGGAUACCCUACUUAUAUGACUGGGAUAACUUCGGGAAACCGGAGCUAAUCCCGGAUAAUAUACUGCACCGCAUGGUUCAAUAGUGAAAGACGGUUUUGCUGUCUCUUAUCGAUGGAUCCGCGCCGCAUUAGCUAGUUGGUAAGGUAACGGCUUACCAAGGCAACGAUGCGUAGCCGACCUGAGAGGGUGGUCGGCCACACUGGAACUGAGACGCGGUCCAUACUCCUACGGGAGGCAGCAGUAGGGAAUCUUCCGCAAUGGGCGGAAACCUGGCGGAGCAACGCGGCGUGAGUGAUGAAGAUCUUCGGAUCGUAAAACUCUGUUAUUAGUGAAAAACAAAUGUGUAAGUAACUAUGCACGUCUUGACGGUACCUGAUCAGAAAGCCACGGCUAACUACGUG